Molecule: long non-coding RNA, 725 nt
Organism: Lathyrus oleraceus (garden pea)
Lineage: Eukaryota; Viridiplantae; Streptophyta; Magnoliopsida; Fabales; Fabaceae
Exons: 2
Source: RefSeq, a predicted model, not a curated record
UUGAAAAACAGAGUGAUUGGUAUGAACAAGUGACAACUGGAAAAAACGUGAUAAUAAAGUUAAUGAUUAAAAGAAUGGGGUUAUGACUUUCUGAUACGGUUGUCUGAUGUCUGUAUUUUAUUGAAUCACUUUAUUGCCACAAGAAAAGAAGAAGAAGAAGAAGGUGGUGAUCCAAGUAAGAGUGAUGAGUAAAGGAAAGGAAAUACAAGAUAGAAAUCAGAAAAACACAUGACAUGUAUUAGGAACCAGCAAAGAAAAGGGAAAAUCAUUGGAAAGUUAAAAGAAAAGGUGUCUCUAAACUGGUUUGCCAUGUUAUGCUUAUGCAUGAUUCCUUUUGUUUCUGCCUUCAUAGACAAGGCACUCCGACUCAUUUUUAUGACACUGAUCUCAAAGGAACGAAGGCCCAGCUCACGAAUGGCCCAAUCCAGAAAAUGGCCCAAACUGGCCUGUUCGCUACACGUUCGCUACACGCUCGCCUAGCGAAGCUGACAGAUAACAGAAAAUUCUGGGCUUCACUCUGAGCCCAUUAGGUCACAAAAAAGAGCAUUAUAAAUACCAGCACUUCAGUAAUGAAAAGAGAACGAAAACGGAGAGAGGAGAACCCUAGCAAGCAAACCCUAACACUCACGGAGGCAAGCCCUGAAGGAACUCGGCGGCAUCAAGGUUUACCUCCGCCCAAUUCAAUCCGAUCUGCCGAUUCAAAGUCGCAACUCAAUUGCAAACAG